UGGGGAAUAUUGGGCAAUGGGCGAAAGCCUGACCCAGCAACGCCGCGUGAAGGAAGAAGGUUUUCGGAUCGUAAACUUCUAUCCUUGGUGAAGAUAAUGACGGUAGCCAAGAAGGAAGCCCCGGCUAACUACGUGCCAGCAGCCGCGGUAAUACGUAUGGGGCAAGCGUUGUCCGGAAUGAUUGGGCGUAAAGGGCGCGUAGGCGGCCUGGUAAGUCUGGAGUGAAAGUCCUGCUUUUAAGGUGGGAAUUGCUUUGGAUACUGUCGGGCUUGAGUGCAGGAGAGGUGAGUGGAAUUCCCGGUGUAGCGGUGAAAUGCGUAGAGAUCGGGAGGAAUAUCAGUGGCGAAGGCGCCCAUCUGGACGGUAACUGACGCUGAGACGCGAAAGCGUGGGGAGCAAACA
RNAcentral lists this ribosomal RNA (402 nucleotides) under uncultured prokaryote. RNAcentral's name for it is "bacterial SSU rRNA". It matches the Rfam family "Bacterial small subunit ribosomal RNA", at positions 355 to 774 of the family's 1533-position model. The record is from RNAcentral.